AUUGAACGCUGGCGGCAGGCUUAACACAUGCAAGUCGAGCGGGGUGAUGGUGCUUGCACUAUCACUUAGCGGCGGACGGGUGAGUAAUGCUUAGGAAUCUGCCUAUUAGUGGGGGACAACAUCUCGAAAGGGAUGCUAAUACCGCAUACGUCCUACGGGAGAAAGCAGGGGCUCACUUGUGACCUUGCGCUAAUAGAUGAGCCUAAGUCGGAUUAGCUAGUUGGUGGGGUAAAGGCCUACCAAGGCGACGAUCUGUAGCGGGUCUGAGAGGAUGAUCCGCCACAAUGGGACUGAGACACGGCCCAGACUCCUACGGGAGGCAGCAGCGGGGAAUAUUGGACAAUGGGGGGAACCCUGAUCCAGCCAUGCCGCGUGUGUGAAGAAGGCCUUAUGGUUGUAAAGCACUUUAAGCGAGGAGGAGGCUCUUUUGGUUAAUACCCAAGAUGAGUGGACGUUACUCGCAGAAUAAGCACCGGCUAACUCUGUGCCAGCAGCCGCGGUAA
RNAcentral lists this ribosomal RNA (503 nucleotides) under uncultured bacterium. Its description in RNAcentral is "partial 16S ribosomal RNA". It matches the Rfam family "Bacterial small subunit ribosomal RNA", at positions 30 to 523 of the family's 1533-position model. The record is from RNAcentral.